This 373-nucleotide ribosomal RNA is filed under the name uncultured bacterium. RNAcentral describes it as "bacterial SSU rRNA". It matches the Rfam family "Bacterial small subunit ribosomal RNA", at positions 523 to 898 of the family's 1533-position model. The record is from RNAcentral.
AUACGGAGGAUUCGAGCGUUAUUCGGAUUUAUUGGGUUUAAAGGGUGCGCAGGCGGGAGAUUAAGUCGGCGGUGAAAUUUUGCAGCUCAACUGUAAAAGUGCCUUCGAUACUGGUUUCCUUGAGUGUGGAUGAAGUAGGCGGAAUUUGUGGUGUAGCGGUGAAAUGCUUAGAUAUCACGAGGAACUCCGAUUGCGCAGGCAGCUUACUAAACCACUACUGACGCUCAGGCACGAAGGCGUGGGGAUCAAACAGGAUUAGAUACCCUGGUAGUCCACGCAGUAAACGAUGAUUACUGGCUGUUUGCGAUACAAUGUAAGCGGCUGAGCGAAAGCGUUAAGUAAUCCACCUGGGGAGUACGUUCGCAAGAAUGAA